Molecule: non-coding RNA, 31 nt
Filed under: Mus musculus (house mouse)
Lineage: Eukaryota; Metazoa; Chordata; Mammalia; Rodentia; Muridae
Source: RNAcentral
UNUCUUUACACAUGUGCCAACUUAGAUGAUG